Spinacia oleracea (spinach) is the source of this 730-nucleotide long non-coding RNA. RefSeq lists it as uncharacterized. The transcript has 2 exons. NCBI's taxonomy places the organism in Eukaryota, Viridiplantae, Streptophyta, Magnoliopsida, Caryophyllales, Amaranthaceae. The record is from RefSeq and is a predicted model, not a curated record.
UUCAAGAGAGAUGUUAUUUCUUGCACAAGAAAUGUUACUUUUAAACGUUUUAAUCUCCCUUAUAAAACACAACACGAUUGCUUACCCUUCACUUCCAUCGCCUUCGUUCCUCUUAAUUAAUUACUAAUCAUCAAAUCAGCUGCAAUUCAGGGUUUAGGAAAAUGGUGAACCCACUGAAGUAUAUGCUUGAGAAUCCAACAAUCAACCCAAACCCGUUUGAUAUAUUGCUGAAAAGCCGGUUGUUUAGUUACUGCAAAGUUGCUGCUGGAGGGUUGGUUGUUGCUGGAUUUGCAAAAUUGGCCUCUUACCGCGAAGCCAAUGGCAGCGGCUAUGGCAUGUUUAAGGUUGGAGAAUGGUUCAAGGGCGUUCGUGGAAAAGGAUCCGAGGAAAACUAAGCACCUUUCCUUUUAAGAAUCUAAGUGUUCUUUAUAUAUCAUAGAUCAUGUUAAUUUUGUGAUUUCUAGUUUAUUAUGUUUAGUUGAAGCUACUAAUUUGGGAAUGAGCCUUUUAGUAGCCACAAGUUUUAAAAAUUAGUAUGAAAUUAGUAUUGCGAGCUGCAUGGCAGAUGAAGUGUUUUUGCUAAAUUCUGGAGGAAUUCAUUCAGUAAAAUCACUAGUAUGCUCAUAAUUUGCAUUAAUCUUAGUACACGAAGCUUCCCUGCCAAAAGUAGAGCUUCGUCUUUCUUUCCCUCAUCAGGAGACUUAAUGUUAAAAUCCAUCAUUUCUGCAAA